This 255-nucleotide unclassified non-coding RNA is filed under the name Hevea brasiliensis (rubber tree). The record is from RNAcentral. Lineage: Eukaryota; Viridiplantae; Streptophyta; Magnoliopsida; Malpighiales; Euphorbiaceae.
GAAAAUGGAUACCCUUCAUAAACACGGUUACAUAUGAGGAAUGUAAGAUUAAAGAUCCAAAGCAGAAAAACAAAUUUUGUUCUCCCGCAUAUCUUUACUAGGAGAAAAUUAGCUGAAGCUAUAAACAAGAUGUAUAAGACGCAAGCUCCAUGGAGAUAUGUCAAAUAAACCAAAGAAACCAUCAGCCAAACAACCGCCAUUCCCUUUGCUUUUAGACCAUAUUUUCUACAUGAGGUAGCUACUAGAGUGAAGAUA